GUAGGUGGCAAGCGUUGUCCGGAAUUAUUGGGCGUAAAGCGCGCGCAGGCGGUCCUUUAAGUCUGAUGUGAAAGCCCACGGCUCAACCGUGGAGGGUCAUUGGAAACUGGGGGACUUGAGUACAGAAGAGGAAAGCGGAAUUCCAAGUGUAGCGGUGACAUGCGUAGAGAUUUGGAGGAACACCAGUGGCGAAGGCGGCUUUCUGGUCUGUAACUGACGCUGAGGCGCGAAAGCGUGGGGAGCAAACAGGGAUUAGAUACCCUGGUAGUCCACGCCGUAAACGAUGAGUGCUAAGUGUUAGGGGGUUUCCCGCCCCUUAGUGCUGCAGCUAACGCAUUAAGCACUCCGCCUGGGGAGUACGGCCGCAAGGCUG
RNAcentral lists this ribosomal RNA (373 nucleotides) under uncultured organism. RNAcentral's name for it is "partial 16S ribosomal RNA". It matches the Rfam family "Bacterial small subunit ribosomal RNA", at positions 527 to 896 of the family's 1533-position model. The record is from RNAcentral.